This 61-nucleotide transfer RNA is filed under the name Ochthebius sculptoides. RNAcentral's name for it is "tRNA-Cys". The record is from RNAcentral. Lineage: Eukaryota; Metazoa; Arthropoda; Insecta; Coleoptera; Hydraenidae.
AGUCUUAUAUUCAAAAAUGAUAUUAAAUUGCAAAUUUAAAGGAGGGGUUGCCCUAAGGCUU